GAUACAGUUUGAAUAAAAUCUAGAAUUUGGUGGGAAAUUUGUAGGAAUCACAUAUAGGUAAUGUUUAAUUUUCAUUGAUUUGCUGCAUUUUAGAGUUUUAUUGCAUAUAAUAAAAUGCAUUUUAUUCAAUAUAGUUGUGUAAAGGUGUGAAAGUGAAGUGGAAGUAGAACAAGUAAUUAAUUUGAUUUUCUCAGUGGUCUUACUAAAGCAUGACUCUACUUGACUAGGACUGACUGCAAAAGAUGGAUGAUGGACUAUAUUUGACUACUUUUGCCCUCAGGGUAAAUUUUUACCUGAUGUCUCGCUAAAUGUAUUGCGAAGCCAUAUAUAUAAAAAAAAUAUACAUAUUGGCUAUAGGUCAAAUAUUUAUUGAAUUCUAUUUGAAAUUUUAAUUUUUCCAUCAAAUACGGUUAAAUUCCCUUAAGAAGAAUAUAAGUUUUUAACAUGUUACAAUAAUCUUAAUAAUAUUUUAAUGUAUUCUAUUUAUUACUCAGAUUAUUAGAUUCAUUCCAUAUUCUAAGAAUUAAUGUAAAUUUUAAUGGCUAGCCUUGCCUACCUAAAGGAACUUAUAAUACAACUACAAAGUAGCAAUGCGAAUUGGCGCAAUAAUAUAAUAAAAUAAGAAAAUAAAUAUUAAAAAAACAACGCAUAAUUUGAAACAUGGCGGCAAAAACAAAACUCAAGAUUUCAUUGAUGCCAACCGUAAUGGCGUUAGCGUGUAAUAUUGUCAGUCGACGAAAGCAAUACUUACUUUCCAAAUAAUCCUCAAGAUACAACAUUUUGAUACAAUAUGAUACGAAGACCGUUAACAGAAAUAACUCUAAAACUAGACGUUUUGCAAGAGUACGAAGCCUACAGAAGAAAUCAAGCCAAUAGUUCAACAAGUAGGUGCGAAAUGCGGGAAGAAACACCUAAUCAUUUAUUUGUAUGUACUGGAGCGCCUAAACCUGUUGAAGAAAUACAGAAUAGGAUAGGAUACAUACCUAAAAAGCCUAGAGGACCCAGUACCGUAUAAAUAAAAUAAAACAGCUACUUUUUUCUCAUUAAGAUCAUUUAUUAUGUACUUAAAAUUUUCGAAUAAAAUACAUUUUUAGAUGCAAAACACAUGAUUCUUAAUAAUAAUAUAAUUACAUAGCAAGUGUGAGUAUAAUUCUUAAUAAGUACUCUGUGCAUUUAGGUAACGUAAAUACUUUUAAUGGUUAAAAUGCAGUUCCUUUUUUUUCAUGAUUAUGUGACGCAAGAAAUUAGCUUUUUGCAAGUAGCUGCGGUACUCGUAAUAAAACCUUAAUCGCUG
Bicyclus anynana (squinting bush brown) is the source of this 1294-nucleotide long non-coding RNA. RefSeq lists it as uncharacterized. Lineage: Eukaryota; Metazoa; Arthropoda; Insecta; Lepidoptera; Nymphalidae. The record is from RefSeq and is a predicted model, not a curated record. The transcript is spliced from 2 exons.